RNAcentral lists this unclassified non-coding RNA (334 nucleotides) under soil metagenome. RNAcentral describes it as "partial contains 5.8S ribosomal RNA, internal transcribed spacer 2, and large subunit ribosomal RNA". The stretch from base 1 to 120 matches the Rfam family "5.8S ribosomal RNA", at positions 35 to 154 of the family's 154-position model. The record is from RNAcentral.
GAUGAAGAACGUAGCGAAAUGCGAUAAGUAGUGUGAAUUGCAGAAUUCAGUGAAUCAUCGAAUCUUUGAACGCACAUUGCGCCCCUUGGUAUUCCAUGGGGCAUGCCUGUUCGAGCGUCAUUUGUACCUUCAAGCUCUGCUUGGUGUUGGGUGUUUGUCCUUGCUCUAGUGGCGGGACUCGCCUUAAAGUAAUUGGCAGCCAGUGUUUUGGUUUUGAAGCGCAGCACAAGUCGCGAUUCAAGUCUAUACGCUAGUUUCCACAAGUCUUUUAUCACUUUUGACCUCGGAUCAGGUAGGGAUACCCGCUGAACUUAAGCAUACAAUAAGCGGAGGA